GCAAGUGGCACCGGUGCUGAAUGGUUAACCCGAGGAUUAUUGUCUUUUAAGUGUUUUUCUUUAGUGUGCCCCGGUGUGUUUGUUCGGCGUGUGUAACCAUGCAUCGGUGGUAUUUUCCUCUGUCGGAUUAGUUGAUUAGGGGCGCAUUUAUUAGAUAAAAGAUUGAUGCGGGCUCUGCUCGUUGAUCCGAUGAUUCAUGGUAAUCACACGGCCUUCGUGUCGGCGACACAUCAUUCAACUUUUUGCCCUAUCAAUUUUUGAUGGUAGGAUAGGGGCUGACGGGUGACGAAGAAUUAGGGUUCGAUUCCGGAUAGGGAGCCUAAGAAACGGCUACCACAUAUAGAUAAAUCUGC
Triticum urartu is the source of this 353-nucleotide non-coding RNA. NCBI's taxonomy places the organism in Eukaryota, Viridiplantae, Streptophyta, Magnoliopsida, Poales, Poaceae. The record is from Rfam.